GAACCCGAGUGUGUCUUCCCCCAAAACCCGAUCUUGAUCUCCUCCUACCCGACCCUCUCCUUCCUCGAUCUCUCUUCUGCCCGACGCCUCUCUUGUGGAUGACUUGACGCCGAGGCCGGAGGAGUACAUCACCGGAGCCCGACGGUGCCGAGGAGCUGGAUCUACUCAGGGGGUUCUGUCCGGUGGGUUCUGCGGCUGAGCGUCGGCGGCGACGUGGCUAGGGCACUGUGAGGAGCAAGAUUUGAGUCAGCUCCCAACUGAUCGACCUCCGCUCUUCCCUCCUCGCGCUGCUCACAGGGGGAUUUGCGUCUUCUCCAGCCAGAUCGAGUUGUGCGACGUCUUCUGGAGAGUUGAGGUCACGAGAUUGGGUGUGUUGAAUUGUUGAUCUUAUCUCUUGUGAUUGGAUUGACUUCAAUGAAAUGAGGAUCUGUGAUCGUGAAGUGGAUUCAGCAGAGGUGUUCUGUAGGUUGUGAGGUCCCUUGUUCUUGAUUCCAAGCUUGAUCCGAUUGAUUCCAAUGAGGACAUGUUCUGUGGAAUUCAAAUUGUGUGCUGUGGAUUGCUUUAUGAUCCAGCAACAUAUGGUUUCAACAGCAACUCAAUUAGAGCAGCGAGGUCCUGUUGCUGUGAUGUUGGAAUUGUGAUCGUAAGGGAUUUCCAGUAGCAUCACCUGUGGCAUUCGAUUAGCGAGGUUGAGGCCGUCAGGAGAGAUUCCAGUCGCUAGCCCCUUGUUGCGAGGAUUUCUAGAUAUCGUGUUCUGUAUUCGCUUUAUACGUAUACUUGAGAUGUGGGUUUGUAUUGUGGACUUUAUAACGAACAUUGGGUUUACUACUUUUGGUUUUCCGUUGCGGAUAUUUUCAUUACA
Zingiber officinale is the source of this 862-nucleotide long non-coding RNA. RefSeq lists it as uncharacterized. NCBI's taxonomy places the organism in Eukaryota, Viridiplantae, Streptophyta, Magnoliopsida, Zingiberales, Zingiberaceae. The record is from RefSeq and is a predicted model, not a curated record. The transcript is spliced from 3 exons.